AGCCCCUGCAGUGAACCACUGGGAGCUGCCUUCAGCCAUUCCAGGAAAAAAAGGGUUAAUCCUGCAAGACCCUACAGAUAUCCAGGCUCAUAGGUAUGUUGAAAAUGUCAGUGAACCCACCAUGAAUGGCCUCAAAGGAUGUGGAAACAGAAAAGCAUUGCUGUUCGUGGAUUGCCAUGGAUACCCACAAGGACCUGCUGUUCACAAAUAUCCAGUCGUCAAAAGCUCAGCAAAUCAGAUCAGAUACCCACAGUUGAAAUUGAUGUGCUGAUUUUUCUUAGAGUGAAAACUGAGAGCUGUUUUUGUGCAGGCGAGAGAAGGUCAAAGUGGAAUUUCAAGUUGCAGCACCCCAAAUGCCAUCCUUCUGGAAGGUAGCACUUAUUCACUCUGGGGAGACCUUAGAAAGAAGAAGAGUUUAUACAGGCAUCUGUGGAAAGACAUCAGACAUCAGAAGUAAACAGUCCAAACAAUUGACUGAAGUUGAAGGUUGCCUAUUUGAGUCUGUUAUUUUUAGUGGUUUGUUUUGCAUGCUGGUAUGCUCUGCAAAUAGAGCAGAACAAAUGAAACUAAUGGAUGUUGAGGGGAGAAGUUACUGGGGGGAAAAAAAGAAUGUGACUGAUGGAACCAUUUUAAAGCACAAGUUGGUUAAAGGUUAAUUAAAUAUAGGUGGCAGAUGCUGAGAAAAUUAAUGGAGUCUGGUGGCAGGGAGACAACAUAGGUAAACGUGGAUAUGGAGGCAGAACUAUUCAAUAUUUAUUGUACACCUUAGAUCACCCUAUGGAUGAUUGGCA
Alligator sinensis (Chinese alligator) is the source of this 791-nucleotide long non-coding RNA. RefSeq lists it as uncharacterized. The record is from RefSeq and is a predicted model, not a curated record. The transcript is spliced from 3 exons. Lineage: Eukaryota; Metazoa; Chordata; Crocodylia; Alligatoridae.